AAUUAAAUGUAUAUUUUAUGUGCGUUUAAACUAUAAAUAUAAAAUUUUUGUUUAGCACAAAACGGGUUAGAGCCAGGUUGGUUAGGCGUCUCAUUUGGGUUGAGAAAUUGUUAUGUUCGAAUCAUAAUAACCCGAUAAAAACAAAAUACAGUAUAACAUAAUUAUAGUAUUUAUUUAAUAUAGUUGAUUUGUUGAUAUAAACAUAUAAUAUUAUCAUUAAUGAUAAUUAGUAUAUAAAGGAAUUAUUCGGGAAUCAAAGGCUGUAUAUUAAAGAGACUUAAAAUUACAAUAUAUAUUAACCUAAUGUAUAAAAUUUAUACAAUUGAAAGGGAAAAUAUAAUAUGAACUCUAAGAGAAAUUAAGUAAUAAACAAAGUGAAUUGAAAUAUCUUAUUAACUUUAGGAAUAUAAAUCAAACGAGAUUCUAUUAUUAGUGUGAAUGAACGUAGAAAGGCCUAACGCUUCGCGUUAAAUAAAUAAAAUGGAUUAUAAUCUGUUUGAAUAUAGGGGAACCUUCCUCUAAGGCUAAAUAUAAUAUACAAGCGAUAGUGAACUAGUACCGUGAGGGAAAAUGAAGAAAGAGUAAUUUCAUAAGAAGUCCGAGUUAAAAUAAAAAGAAAUAAGGACGUACCUUUUGCAUAAUGGGUCAGCAAGUUAAUGUUAGAUGCGAGCAUUCACGCACGCUUUGCGUGGCGUAUGUUUGCCUAGAUAAACCAAUUAUGAAAAAAUGAAUAAGUAUCUAAUAUUAGACCCGAAGUCCAGUGAUCUUACCAUGGUCAGGGUUAUAAAGGCCCGAACGGGUUAUCGUUGCAUAGAUAUCCGAAGAACUGUGGUAAGUUAGUGAAAGACAAACCUGACUGGAAUAGCUGGUUUUCCGCGAAACCUAUCUAAGUAGGUAGUUUAAAUAACAUCUUAGCAGGUACAUAACCGCACCUCUGACAAAAUAAAUUUAUUUUGUACACAUCGGGGGAUUGGAAAAUUCUAUCGGUGAGUGUAUGUAAUCGGAAGGGAAAAGAUAGUGUAACACAAUAUUGAACAAUCGGACAUAGUGCGAUAAGGUUGUAUGUCAAGAGGGAAACAGCCCAGAACAAGAGUAAAUAAGGUUCCAAAAUUAUUGUUAAGUGAAAAUAAGGAGGUCAUUAUCGAAUACAACCAGGAAAUAGGCUUAGAAGCGGCCAUUUUUUGAAGAUCUCGUAACAGAGCACUGGUUAACAUUACGUAUAUAUAUACGUACAUAUAGUGGCACCGAAAAUUUAACGGAUCUAAAUAAUAUACCGAUACCUUGUCUACGUAAUAUGAUGAAUUCAUCAUGAACGUGGAGUAGCGGAACGUUGGGUAAAUUUAAGAUAUUUUCUUUUUAAGCAAAUAAAGAUAAUUACCCAAGUGACAAUGCUGACAUGAGUAACGAAAAAGGGUAAUUAAACCCUCGCCUUAAGCUUAUGAUAGUUUAAAAGUAACGGCCUCUAAGUUAUAAACCCUAAAGGGUUUAACGAUGAGAAAAUCUAUCAUAUAUAUACAACCUUUAUAUAAAAAUAAAAUGGCGUUAAUUUAAUUAAUGUUAAGCUUUCAUUGUAUUUUUAUUUAAGUGUAAAGUGUGCAGGAAAUAUAUAUAUGUAACAAAUUAUACCGUGUCUAGGAACUUAAAGGUAAGCUAGUAGAGAAUACGAAGGCGUUGAGUUAACUAUUAUUAAGGAACUCGGCAAAUUGACUUGCGUAACUUCGGGAUAAGCAGAGCCAUUCCUUCUGAUUAAUAUCAGAUAAAGAAGAGGAGGCAUAGAAUAGUGUUGUACGACUGUUUAAUUAAAACAAAGCACUUCGCGUAAGAUUUUAAAUCAAAGUAUUGAGUGUGAUGUCUGCCCUAUAUCGGCUGGUUAACGGAUUUACUUAAUAAAAGGUUAGGUUUAGAAGGAAACCCCGAUCAAUGGCGGCCUUAACUAUGAGGGUCCUAAGGUAGCGAAAUACCUUGGCCGUUAAAUGCGGUCUUGCAUGAAUGAUUUCACGAUACAACAGCUGUCUCAAUAAUAGUCUCAGUGAAAUUACAAUAACUGUGCAGAUGCAGUUUACCUCUAGUUAGACGAGAAGACCCUUUGCAGCUUUACUGUUAUUAAUUAUUGAAUAUGAUAUAGUGGGUAUUAGAGUAUAAGGUAAUUGAUUAGAUAAAAUUGAAACACCUUUACCCUGCUUAUCAUAUAUAUAGAAGAUAUUUACAUUGUUAGCUACAAUAUAAGUAAAAUUUAUUACACUUAUUCACAAAGAAAUAAUGUGAAAACAGUUGUUGAUAGACAGUUUAUGCGGGGCACAGAUCCCACAAAUAGUACCUGGGUAUAUCCAAAGUUAAUUUGGUAAAUUAAUAUAUUGAAUCUGAUAGAUUUAAUAUAUUUACUAUAUAAGAUAUACUUUUCGCUUAGCGUUAAGUUAUCUUAUCUAUUUAGUUUGUAAUAAAAAAAUAAUCAGUACCAUCCUAUUGGGUUAGGGCCAAUUUAUUCUUUUAAGUAGGAUUUUAAUUAUAUCGAAAAUAGUUGUAAGAAAACAAAACAUAGUUAUGCUAGUUUAUGUUUAAUAGUCUUCUCUUAUAUUGCUUUGCAUUUAUAAGGUUGAUAAGUGAUAUUUACACGAAAAGCUUAAUGGCUAAUUCUUGCUUUACUGUUUGACUUACAAGUCUAUCAGUCGCGUAAGCGGGGCAUAUGAUCACAAGAUGCAGAAAGGAAAGGUCUUGGAUUUUUGAAAAAGCUACGCUAGGGAUUAAUGUUAGUCCUCCAAUAUAAUAUAAUAUAUUGGUAAUUAAAUAGGGUAAAUUUCAAAGAAUACUUAAACAUUGUAUUAAGUAAAUUUGAAGCGAAAUAUUAUUAAUAAACAUAAUAAACGU
Molecule: ribosomal RNA, 2865 nt
Filed under: Citrus cavaleriei (Ichang papeda)
Lineage: Eukaryota; Viridiplantae; Streptophyta; Magnoliopsida; Sapindales; Rutaceae
Description: bacterial LSU rRNA
Rfam family: Bacterial large subunit ribosomal RNA (bases 225-2784)
Source: RNAcentral